Long non-coding RNA from Sinocyclocheilus grahami, 933 nucleotides. RefSeq lists it as uncharacterized. NCBI's taxonomy places the organism in Eukaryota, Metazoa, Chordata, Actinopteri, Cypriniformes, Cyprinidae. The record is from RefSeq and is a predicted model, not a curated record. The transcript is spliced from 3 exons.
AACCGUUCCACCCCUAAUUGCUAUUAAUUUCUUUUCUACUCUACUUUUCUAUCCUCCUAUUCCCUUCCCUCAACUGUUCUCUCAUACUGUGAGUAUGUUUAGAAGCAGCAGUGAGGAGAGACUCUCCCUCCUCUGACAGCAGUUUUGGGAAGCCAGCUAGACCGAUGAUUGCAGCUCUGCCCCUGAGAUCCACGGUCAACAACGGUACUGUCCUGCCUAAGAAGGGCGGCACACUGCCAUCCCCCUCCGGCUCCAAGAAGGGCAAUAACUCACCAGCAACCAAAAGUCUGUCCCAUCUGCCCAGGUUUCUUCUAAGGCCACCUUACAGGUGAGAGUUUUUCUACAUUCAGGAUCUGCAAUCUUCUAAAAAGUGAUGUGGGCUACUGAUAUUUUUGUAAUAAAAAAUGCUUUAAGGGUUUGUUUUUAAACCAUUAUUCAAGAACUGCUUAAAACCUUAGCAAACAUAGUCUGUGGUUCGACCAUAUUCUGUGGAGGCUGUUUAGGAAGUAGAUAAGCUUUGCUUUGAUUCUUGUGAAACUGGGCACUCUUUGGUUUGGACAUUUUAUUUUUUUUUUAGCUUCUCUUCAGGCACUCUUUCAUUGCAGCCUGUAAAGCUUCUUUUCCCAUCAUGCCUUGAAGUGAGAGCCCUGUGCAGUCUAUAGACUAACUAUAUACCCGCUUGCUUGUAUGCCUGAAGUGCCAUUAUUGACAAAAAGCCUCACAAAGCAUGAAGAUCCUGCAGCCUAUUUAACACGGGAUAACACCAUCCGACAGUGGCUGGGCCAAAUGAACUUUAGCCCUGCAGUCUGGAUUAGACUUGAGCCUGGCAACCAGUGGACUGCUGAUGGGGUCUUUUGUUGACAAGUUUUAAAGGGCACCCACUUUCAAUUCACCCCUUUCUAGUGCACAAAGGCACAUCAAAUCAGGUCAUGA